This is a long non-coding RNA of Mytilus californianus (California mussel), 960 nucleotides long. RefSeq lists it as uncharacterized. The transcript has 3 exons. Lineage: Eukaryota; Metazoa; Mollusca; Bivalvia; Mytilida; Mytilidae. The record is from RefSeq and is a predicted model, not a curated record.
UGUUUGAUCUCACGAAAUAACCGUUUUUACAAUAGCAGUUAAAAACAUACACUUUUAACGUUGUCAGUUCAUUUUAAAUCCACAGAAAAAUAAAAUGGAAAAACGGUGUCCUGCAAUUUUUGGAAUAAUUACAUUAGUUUUAUUGUGUGCUGGAGCCUUCUCUCCCGGGUGGUUUGCCAUUGACACUGCAAAAUUAAGUGGAGAUGAGGGCAGUUAUACUUCAGACGGUAUUGAAAUACAUAUGGGAUUAUUUUAUUUUGUUGCUGUAGGGAAAGAUUUUAGAAAAGUUUCGGGAUAUGGAGAUUUUAGUGGAUCCAGCAUGUUAAAAAUUGGUUUUCUUGAAUACCAGUUAGAAGUUAUCCUGGGAAUAGUCUUAUGUUUUAUAUCAGUCAUACUGACUUUCAAAUACAAGAAAGAAGGAACGAAUGGAGUUUUGGUUGCUAUUAUAAUAAUGUACAUUAUAGCAGGAAUAUCUACAUUUAUAGCAGUCGGACGUUGGCUUAACGGCGUGAUAUUUAUUUCACCUUACUCAGACAUACCAAUGAUCGUCCCCUACUCUUUAAUUUUGAGUGGUCUUGGAGCCAUCUUUUGUGGGAUCAUAAUGAUAUGUGUAAGUUGCAUGUACUGCCCGCACAACGCUGAUAGACCAGCCCACGGGGGUCAGGUGUAUUCUGGUGUUGCAAUGACCGAUUAUACACAAACACAGCCGUAUACGCAAGGGCCGCCGCUAUAUGGACAAUCACAGGAUAAAAAAAGCUACGUAUAGACUUAUGGUAAUGGCGGUGGCAUACUUCAUAAAGCGUAAUAAUAAAAAUGAUUUGUGCGUCAACCAAUCAUUGAAAUUUGUAUAUUGAAAUGUAAAAUGAUGAUAGAUAACUUUACAAUUAUCGCAAAAACUGUAUUAUAUGCAUCAUAUUGUAAACUUUAAAAGAAUAAAAUUGACAAAAGUCUCUGGUAUAA